AGUGAACGCUGGCGGUAGGCCUAACACAUGCAAGUCGAACGGCAGCACAGUAAGAGCUUGCUCUUACGGGAGGCGAGUGGCGGACGGGUGAGGAAUACAUCGGAAUCUACUUUUUCGUGGGGGAUAACGUAGGGAAACUUACGCUAAUACCGCAUACGACCUCCGGGUGAAAGCAGGGGAUCUUCGGACCUUGCGCGAUUGAAUGAGCCGAUGUCGGAUUAGCUAGUUGGCGGGGUAAAGGCCCACCAAGGCGACGAUCCGUAGCUGGUCUGAGAGGAUGAUCAGCCACACUGGAACUGAGACACGGUCCAGACUCCUACGGGAGGCAGCAGUGGGGAAUAUUGGACAAUGGGCGCAAGCCUGAUCCAGCCAUACCGCGUGAGUGAAGAAGGCCUUCGGGUUGUAAAGCCCUUUUGUUGGGAAAGAAAAGCAGCAGGUUAAUACCCCGCUGUUCUGACGGUACCCAAAGAAUAAGCACCGGCUAACUUCGUG
This 492-nucleotide ribosomal RNA is filed under the name uncultured bacterium. RNAcentral describes it as "partial 16S ribosomal RNA". It matches the Rfam family "Bacterial small subunit ribosomal RNA", at positions 29 to 507 of the family's 1533-position model. The record is from RNAcentral.